RNAcentral lists this ribosomal RNA (254 nucleotides) under uncultured bacterium. RNAcentral's name for it is "partial 16S ribosomal RNA". It matches the Rfam family "Bacterial small subunit ribosomal RNA", at positions 524 to 776 of the family's 1533-position model. The record is from RNAcentral.
UACGGGGGGAGCAAGCGUUGUUCGGAUUUACUGGGCGUAAAGGGCGCGUAGGCGGUCAGCACAAGUCAGUUGUGAAAUCUCCGGGCUUAACUCGGAAAGGUCAACUGAUACUGUGCGACUAGAGUGCAGAAGGGGCAACUGGAAUUCUCGGUGUGGCGGUGAAAUGCGUAGAUAUCGAGAGGAACACCUGCGGCGAAGGCGGGUUGCUGGGCUGACACUGACGCUGAUGCGCGAAAGCCAGGGGAGCGAACGGG